RNAcentral lists this ribosomal RNA (518 nucleotides) under uncultured microorganism. RNAcentral's name for it is "bacterial SSU rRNA". It matches the Rfam family "Bacterial small subunit ribosomal RNA", at positions 9 to 510 of the family's 1533-position model. The record is from RNAcentral.
GAGUUUGAUCUUGGCUCAGGAUGAACGCUGGCGGCGUGCCUAAUACAUGCAAGUCGAGCGAACGGACGAGAAGCUUGCUUCUCUGAUGUUAGCGGCGGACGGGUGAGUAACACGUGGAUAACCUACCUAUAAGACUGGGAUAACUUCGGGAAACCGGAGCUAAUACCGGAUAAUAUUUUGAACCGCAUGGUUCAAAAGUAAAGACGGUCUUGCUGUCGCUUAUAGAUGGAUCCGCGCUGCAUUAGCUAGUUGGUAAGGUAACGGCUUACCAAGGCAACGAUGCAUAGCCGACCUGAGAGGGUGAUCGGCCACACUGGAACUGAGACACGGUCCAGACUCCUACGGGAGGCAGCAGUAGGGAAUCUUCCGCAAUGGGCGAAAGCCUGACGGAGCAACGCCGCGUGAGUGAUGAAGGUCUUCGGAUCGUAAAACUCUGUUAUUAGGGAAGAACAUAUGUGUAAGUAACUGUGCACAUCUUGACGGUACCUAAUCAGAAAGCCACGGCUAACUACGUGCCG